RNAcentral lists this non-coding RNA (203 nucleotides) under Candidatus Stoquefichus. RNAcentral's name for it is "T-box sequence". It matches the Rfam family "T-box leader". Rfam says of the family: Uncharged tRNA acts as the effector for transcription antitermination of genes in the T-box leader family. T-boxes are found upstream of many aminoacyl-tRNA synthetase genes and some amino acid biosynthetic genes usually in Gram-positive bacteria. The record is from RNAcentral. Lineage: Bacteria; Bacillati; Bacillota; Erysipelotrichia; Erysipelotrichales; Erysipelotrichaceae.
AUUAUGACGAAGAAGGAAUGAAGUAGUUUAUAAUCUUUGUAAUAGAAAGCUUGUGGGUGAUGGAAACAAGUCAUGGUUAUAGAUGAAAUUGGGAUUCUGGAGUUAUUGGUAGCAACAGUUAUCAAUCGUUAAUCGCGUUAAGAUAAGAGUGCAUAUCAUUAGAUAUGAACAAAGGUGGUACCACGUAUAUUUACGUCCUUUUA